RNAcentral lists this ribosomal RNA (413 nucleotides) under uncultured bacterium. Its description in RNAcentral is "bacterial SSU rRNA". It matches the Rfam family "Bacterial small subunit ribosomal RNA", at positions 505 to 916 of the family's 1533-position model. The record is from RNAcentral.
GUGCCAGCAGCCGCGGUAAUACGUAGGAGGCUAGCGUUGUCCGGAUUCAUUGGGCGUAAAGGGAGCGCAGGUGGCCGAGUUAGUCCGUGGUGCAAUCUCCAGGCUCAACUUGGAGAGGUCUACGGAUACUGCUCGGCUUGAGGACGGUAGAGGAGCACGGAAUUCCUGGUGUAGUGGUGAAAUGCGUAGAUAUCAGGAGGAACACCCGUGGCGAAAGCGGUGCUCUGGGCCGAUCCUGACACUCAGGCUCGAAAGCGUGGGGAGCAAACCGGAUUAGAUACCCGGGUAGUCCACGCCCUAAACGAUGAGUGCUGGGUAUGGGGGGUAUCGACCCCCUCCGUGCCGAAGCUCACGCGUUAAGCACUCCGCCUGGGGACUACGGCCGCAAGGCUAAAACUCAAAGGAAUUGACGG